GUCUUCUAGAUGGAUCUGGCAUUUCUUGAACCAUCAUCUUCCAAAGUCUCGUACAGCUAGCAUCCUCUCACAUCUACCUAACCUUAUCUCUCACACUGUUCAGACAAAAAACCCCAUUUCCGACCGUAGAGUUCGUCAUCUGCCAUUACAGUGUUGAGAUCUUCUUUAAUUCGUAGAAGAUCUCAACCUUACUGCAAGGUCUUCAUCACCGCUAACAUCCGAUUAGGGUUCAGUUCUGAAACCCACAACUGAGAUCAGUGUACUUGUUGUUCGAGGAUCUAAGUUUUUAUUCUCCGAUCUUCGUUUUGAGACUCGGAUCGGCAUUUUUUAAGGUUCUAACGUCAAUUGAUGAUCUAGAUCUUCACUUACUACCCUAUUCCACUACAUCAGCUGUAAGAUCAAGCAAAUCUGUAUGGCUCCGUACGGUGUUCAUGACUUUAGAUGGACAUUACAGGCAGCUUUGUCGCACUCAAAUGCAAGAUAAGUGAAACUAAACAUUUUUCUUUGUCUAAAUUCUUAUCUUAGCAUAGGCAACAUAUUCUAGAUCUUUAAUUUUUGUGUUUUUUUGUCUGUAUAAUGAACAUCACACAUUAUUGGCUUCUGGGUAUUCAUAGGAUAUUAUAGACUAACCAAACAAUACCUAAUUUAA
Long non-coding RNA from Ipomoea nil (Japanese morning glory), 649 nucleotides. RefSeq lists it as uncharacterized. The record is from RefSeq and is a predicted model, not a curated record. The transcript has 2 exons. NCBI's taxonomy places the organism in Eukaryota, Viridiplantae, Streptophyta, Magnoliopsida, Solanales, Convolvulaceae.